CACCGUGUUCGAGCAAUGGAGCAGGUUUCCCUCUAAUGAGCCAUGAGUCUAACCUCCCACCAAGAAGCUUCUCUGCGCUGCAGUCACAGCCACCAGCCAAACCAAGCAGCCCACCGAGCUAGCCACCUGAUGACUGCAAGAAGGCCAAGAACAGCCAACAUCGUUAUGAACAAAAGGAAUCCUGCUAAAGAAAUCACAACACCAGAUCUCAAGUUACAGUCAGUACAGAUUCACAGCAAUAAACCAGGAUGGUACUAGCACUUAGCAAAUUUAUAAGCUAAUACAUAGAAUAAAGGAUCCAUGUACAAGUCUAUGCAA
Molecule: long non-coding RNA, 318 nt
Organism: Mastomys coucha (southern multimammate mouse)
Lineage: Eukaryota; Metazoa; Chordata; Mammalia; Rodentia; Muridae
Exons: 2
Source: RefSeq, a predicted model, not a curated record